RNAcentral lists this long non-coding RNA (692 nucleotides) under Mytilus galloprovincialis (Mediterranean mussel). Lineage: Eukaryota; Metazoa; Mollusca; Bivalvia; Mytilida; Mytilidae. The record is from RNAcentral.
UAAAAAAAGUCAGUUGACAUUACAAUGUUUAACGGGUAAGACCAUUUAGCUUGCUACGUUGCAUGUUUAAAAUAUUGAAGAAGUCGAGAAAUAAUUAAUGAAGAGUCCCUUUAAAUCGUUUUUUUUUUUCUUACAUUGUGUUCUGUUUUGAUAGAUUUCAUACUUUACUUUUACUUAUUCUACUGCUUCCUUAACAUCCAUUGUUUUCCAUUUGUUUUCUAAUUUUUUUUAGAUGUAUAUAACACCUCAUUAUAUGUUAACCUACAAAUGUAAAUAUUUCUUUAUAUAUGUCAUUGUAUGUUGUGCAUCUAAACAAUAUUUAGUUAAUAGUUUUAUCCUACAUCCGGAACGAUCGAUUUUUUUCAAUAGUACUUCAAUAUAUUAAAUCGAUAUUUAAGUCAAGUGACCUGGUCUUUUUAUUUUGAUAUUUUUAUUUGGGCUACAUUACAAACAGCUAGGGAAAAUGUUGUGGUUAUUAAUGUCAUGUAAUCAAUAAUUUUAAACAUUUUUAAACAACAUAUGAGAAAAUAAGGUUUUGAUUGUUAAGAAAAGUUCAAGAUUCUAUGAGCAUCGUAUGCUUUCAAACAAAAACAUUCUGUUAUGAGCAUUAAUCAUAAAAUAUUCUUUAUAUUUUGCAUCUAUAAGAUAAAUUGUAUAUUAUUUUUUAUUUAAUGUAUUAAUUCAAAUGCGUG